AAGGAGCUGUGUGAAUUGAUGAAUGUUAACUAUGAUAGGGCUGUUAUUGAGGCGAUUGCGAGGGUCAACAAUGAGGAGGAAGAUUCACUUGAAAGUGACAGUUCUCAGACAGCUGCCAAUGAGGAUUAUCUGGAAAGUGAUAAAGAAAAUCAUUCCGAAAUAGCUGCCAGUGAGG
This is a long non-coding RNA of Carassius carassius (crucian carp), 175 nucleotides long. RefSeq lists it as uncharacterized. The transcript has 3 exons. The record is from RefSeq and is a predicted model, not a curated record. NCBI's taxonomy places the organism in Eukaryota, Metazoa, Chordata, Actinopteri, Cypriniformes, Cyprinidae.